GAUGAACGCUGGCGGCGUGCCUAAUACAUGCAAGUCGAGCGAACGGACGAGAAGCUUGCUUCUCUGAUGUUAGCGGCGGACGGGUGAGUAACACGUGGAUAACCUACCUAUAAGACUGGGAUAACUUCGGGAAACCGGAGCUAAUACCGGAUGAUAUUUUGAACCGCAUGGUUCAAAAGUGAAAGACGGUCUUGCUGUCACUUAUAGAUGGAUCCGCGCUGCAUUAGCUAGUUGGUAAGGUAACGGCUUACCAAGGCAACGAUGCAUAGCCGACCUGAGAGGGUGAUCGGCCACACUGGAACUGAGACACGGUCCAGACUCCUACGGGAGGCAGCAGUAGGGAAUCUUCCGCAAUGGGCGAAAGCCUGACGGAGCAACGCCGCGUGAGUGAUGGAGGUCUUCGGAUCGUAAAACUCUGUUAUUAGGGAAGAACAUAUGUGUAAGUAACUGUGCACAUCUUGACGGCACCUAAUCAGAAAGCCACGGCUAACUACGUG
Molecule: ribosomal RNA, 497 nt
Filed under: uncultured bacterium
Lineage: Bacteria
Description: partial 16S ribosomal RNA
Rfam family: Bacterial small subunit ribosomal RNA
Source: RNAcentral